Molecule: ribosomal RNA, 465 nt
Filed under: Vreelandella stevensii
Lineage: Bacteria; Pseudomonadati; Pseudomonadota; Gammaproteobacteria; Oceanospirillales; Halomonadaceae
Description: partial 16S ribosomal RNA
Rfam family: Bacterial small subunit ribosomal RNA
Source: RNAcentral
CCUACGGGAGGCAGCAGUGGGGAAUAUUGGACAAUGGGGGGAACCCUGAUCCAGCCAUGCCGCGUGUGUGAAGAAGGCCCUCGGGUUGUAAAGCACUUUCAGUGAGGAAGAACGCCUGGUGGUUAAUACCCAUCAGGAAAGACAUCACUCACAGAAGAAGCACCGGCUAACUCCGUGCCAGCAGCCGCGGUAAUACGGAGGGUGCGAGCGUUAAUCGGAAUUACUGGGCGUAAAGCGCGCGUAGGUGGCUUGAUAAGCCGGUUGUGAAAGCCCCUGGCUCAACCUGGGAACGGCAUCCGGAACUGUCAAGCUAGAGUGCAGGAGAGGAAGGUAGAAUUCCCGGUGUAGCGGUGAAAUGCGUAGAGAUCGGGAGGAAUACCAGUGGCGAAGGCGGCCUUCUGGACUGACACUGACACUGGGGUGCGAAAGCGUGGGUAGCAAACAGGAUUAGAUACCCCAGUAGUC